Molecule: small RNA, 20 nt
Filed under: Arabidopsis thaliana (thale cress)
Lineage: Eukaryota; Viridiplantae; Streptophyta; Magnoliopsida; Brassicales; Brassicaceae
Description: Ath_wt_05844
Source: RNAcentral
CCGGGCUUUUGAUACGCUUG